RNAcentral lists this ribosomal RNA (891 nucleotides) under Tomentella sp. RNAcentral's name for it is "partial large subunit ribosomal RNA". It matches the Rfam family "Eukaryotic large subunit ribosomal RNA", at positions 65 to 941 of the family's 3401-position model. The record is from RNAcentral. Lineage: Eukaryota; Fungi; Basidiomycota; Agaricomycetes; Thelephorales; Thelephoraceae.
CUAACAAGGAUUCCCCUAGUAACUGCGAGUGAAGCGGGAAGAGCUCAAAUUUAAAAUCUGGCGUGCCUCUGGUCGUCCGAGUUGUAGUCUGGAGAAGCGUCUUCCGUGUUGGACCGUGUAUAAGUCUCUUGGAACAGGGCGUCAUAGAGGGUGAGAAUCCCGUCUUUGACACGGACUACCAAUGCUUUGUGAUGCGCUCUCAAAGAGUCGAGUUGUUUGGGAAUGCAGCUCAAAAUGGGUGGUAAAUUCCAUCUAAAGCUAAAUAUAGGCGAGAGACCGAUAGCGAACAAGUACCGUGAGGGAAAGAUGAAAAGCACUUUGGAAAGAGAGUUAAACAGUACGUGAAAUUGCUGAAAGGGAAACGCUUGAAGUCAGUCACGUCUGCCAGGACUCAGCCUUGCUUCUGCUUGGUGUACUUUCUGGUUUGAUGGGCCAACAUCAAUUUUGACCGUUGGAGAAAGGCUUUGGGAAUGUGGCACCUUCGGGUGUGUUAUAGCCCUUUGUCGUAUGCAACGGUUGGGAUUGAGGACUGCAGCACGCCUUCAUGGCCGGGGUUCGCCCACGUACGUGCUUAGGGUGUUGGCAUAAUGGCUUUAAGCGACCCGUCUUGAAACACGGACCAAGGAGUCUAACAUGCCUGCGAGUGUUUGGGUGGAAAACCCAUGCGCGUAAUGAAAGUGACAGCUGAGAUCCUCUCAUCAGGAGCAUCAGUGCCUGGACUUGAUCUACGGAGACGGUUCUACGGUGGAGCAUGUAUGUUGGGACCCGAAAGAUGGUGAACUAUGCCUGAAUAGGGUGAAGCCAGAGGAAACUCUGGUGGAGGCUCGUAGCGAUUCUGACGUGCAAAUCGAUCGUCAAAUUUGGGUAUAGGGGCGAAAGACUAAUCGAACC